UUUCUUUUAAACAUGCAAACCGGAUUAACCCAAUUAAUUCGAACCAGCUAAACCGGCCAUAAUAAUUUAAAUCAAUUAAACCAAGCAAUCUCAUUAAAGUAAACCAACAAUAUUAUCCAGCGGAAGACUUAACCAAAAAUCCAAUAAUACGAUUCCAUUAAACCAACAAGUUCAACCAAACAUUAUUCCAAAACAUGAUCCUCCUAACAUGUUUCUAAAUUCCAUUCUAACACCCUAACAAAUCCAACAAUAAUCUAAAACACCAAUGAGUGCCUAGAUCAUCCUCCUCUCCUCGCCAUGAUUCCACGGAUCACACUUUGCUUUUACCUGCAUCAAAGAAAGAGAUGCAUAAGUAUUUCAUAAAUACUUAGUGAGGGCGAUCCUCCCAUCUACGAGCUAUACACACAAGCAAUGAGAUAACACCCACAUAUAUAACAAAAACAAACCAUCCAGCAAGCUAAACAUCCAAUAACACAUCCAGUUCACCUACAAAUCAUCACACAACAAGUCACUCAAUCCCAAUCGCUUAGAUAAGCUCAUGGUCACGCACUCACCUUAACAAGGUGAUUUGAGUUACAAAAACAACCAGGAAAUACUCUCUUCGUGACUGCAACAGCCAAACAACGCCCUACAACAAACCACACAAACACAAAUCUCUAAGAACCAAAAGGACAGAAACAUCAAAAAAACUACAGCCGCAGAAACGAAGCCCUAAAACAUAAACUAACCGUUAACUUCUUAAUCCCUACGGUGAAAAGCAAGAUACAGACGUCACGAAGCCCCCUACAAAAUUUGGUGCCGAUCGGAGAAACGAUGAAUCCACGAUCGCACUUACAAACUCCGCUGAUCCCAGUUCGCAACAGAGAAAACGCGUCUCACCAAACUGCAUAUAACUCACUGAGUAUUAAUCCAAAUUCACUUCUGUAAAAAGGAGAAUCAACGUACACGCCUUAAGAACAAACCUACCAAAAUUCAUUACCNNNNNNNNNNNNNNNNNNNNNNNNNNNNNNNNNNNNNNNNNNNNNNNNNNNNNNNNNNNNNNNNNNNNNNNNNNNNNNNNNNNNNNNNNNNNNNNNNNNNUUCGAUAAGAUUUGAUACGUCGUAACUCUAUUCUACCAGAACGUGACGGAUCUGCUUCUCUUGCCUUAAACACCAAAGCAAAGCUAACACUCUCCUUUUCACAAGUAAACUUCUCAUUUUCCUUUUCUCAACUCAACUCUCAGAAACAACAGCCACAAAACAAGAGAGAGAAGAAGCAUUCUUUAUAAAACUAGGGUUUUUGGUUUAAUUCUGAUUAAACCAGAAUUUACCUAAACCGACUUUAAUUAAACCUCUUUUGGUUCAAUUAAACAAAUCGACCAGUUUAGGAAAUCAACCGGAAUUAAACCGAUUCCACCCUAAUUCUUAUACACAUUCAAGUCUCAUAUUAAUUUUCAGAACACGGGCGUUACAAUUCUCCCCCACUAACAUGGAUUCGUCCUCGAAUCCUUCAACACCGUCCACCAGUUGGACUCCGUGCAACCGUCCCAAACGAUCUGCACUCCCACAACUGACUCCUCUGAGGCUCCUAUCUAAUCCAUAUACUCACGUUCCAGACCCUAUUUGCUCAUACUCACCCACUUCCCCCGUCCACAGGUCGCAACCCAUGAAUCAUACCGGCUCGUCCUCAGGCCUCUGCCUUAGACUACGGUAUCCAGGAAGUCUCACCACUCCCCCCGCUAUCAGGUCGCAACCCUCAAGUCAUACCGGCUCACUAUUAGGCCACCCGCCUUCUAGCUACGGUAUCCGGGAAGUCUCACGCUCGCUCUCGGGUCGUCACCCUCAAAUGUGCACUCGAAUCGUCAUCCGAAGCCAUCACAUCAUAUCCGAGCAAAUAAGUCUAAACGCCCCCGAGCAUAUCUCUCGAUUAGAUAUACCUCCCGUGGUCCACUUAUAGCAUCGCAAUGCUAUACUAACCACCACCCCGAGACUUUCCAAAAAUAGAACCGUCAAACCCGACACUUUCUAUUUUUAGAAACUCGCACAUAUUUCUCUUACACAUGACACAACAAGUCAAAUCAAGAAAUACUCACAUAGUCCAAGUACAACAUCACAAUGUCAUACCUACCAAACAAUAUUCCCACCUGGAAUAUCAUCUCUACCAUGACCAUUCUUCAAGUCAACUCCCAAACAAUCCCGUCACUCAGAGUAUUACAUAAUAGUCUCCAACUUAACUUCUCGGAAAUCCAUUUCCAACAAAACACCACCGAAGACCCGCGCUCCAGACUACAACCACCACAACCACAUAACUACUUCGAGCACCACGCUCGCAACCUCUAGCCUCCCACACUGCCACGAGCAGAAACUAGGAAAACAGAUGACUAGAGAAAAGAUAAAACAUCACAACUUACCGUGGAAUCUCAUUGAAGGCUCGAGAGGAUGAUCUAGGUCUCCAUGCUCACACAACUGAUUAAACACACAAAUCAAUCAGCAUGCAAUCCACAUCAUCAUUUUCCAUCAACGAAAUUCACACAUCACAUAAAAAAUAACCAAUUUACUCCCGCCCUAGAACCGUAAGGGCUCUGAUACCAAAUUGAAAGAACCCAUCCCAUUUUUUUUUCUUUUAAACAUGCAAACCGGAUUAACCCAAUUAAUUCGAACCAGCUAAACCGGCCAUAAUAAUUUAAAUCAAUUAAACCAAGCAAUCUCAUUAAAGUAAACCAACAAUAUUAUCCAGCGGAAGACUUAACCAAAAAUCCAAUAAUACGAUUCCAUUAAACCAACAAGUUCAACCAAACAUUAUUCCAAAACAUGAUCCUCCUAACAUGUUUCUAAAUUCCAUUCUAACACCCUAAUAAAUCCAACAAUAAUCUAAAACACCAAUGAGUGCCUAGAUCAUCCUCCUCUCCUCGCCAUGAUUCCACGGAUCACACUUUGCUUUUACCUGCAUCAAAGAAAGAGAUGCAUAAGUAUUUCAUAAAUACUUAGUGAGGGCGAUCCUACCAUCUACGAGCUAUACACACAAGCAAUGAGAUAACACCCACAUAUAUAACAAAAACAAACCAUCCAGCAAGCUAAACAUCCAAUAACACAUCCAGUUCACCUACAAAUCAUCACACAACAAGUCACUCAAUCCCAAUCGCUUAGAUAAGCUCAUGGUCACGCACUCACCUUAACAAGGUGAUUUGAGUUACAAAAACAACCAGGAAAUACUCUCUUCGUGACUGCAACAGCCAAACAACGCCCUACAACAAACCACACAAACACAAAUCUCUAAGAACCAAAAGGACAGAAACAUCAAAAAAACUACAGCCGCAGAAACGAAGCCCUAAAACAUAAACUAACCGUUAACUUCUUAAUCCCUACGGUGAAAAGCAAGAUACAGACGUCACGAAGCCCCCUACAAAAUUUGGUGCCGAUCGGAGAAACGAUGAAUCCACGAUCGCACUUACAAACUCCGCUGAUCCCAGUUCGCAACAGAGAAAACGCGUCUCACCAAACUGCAUAUAACUCACUGAGUAUUAAUCCAAAUUCACUUCUGUAAAAAGGAGAAUCAACGUACACGCCUUAAGAACAAACCUACCAAAAUUAAUUACCUUUCGAUAAGAUUUGAUACGUCGUAAAUCUAUUCUACCAGAACGUGACGGAUCUGCUUCUCUUGCCUUAAACACCAAAGCAAAGCUAACACUCUCCUUUUCACAAGUAAACUUCUCCUUUUCAUUUUCUCAACUCAACUCUCAGAAACAACAGCCACAAAACAAGAGAGAGAAGAAGCGUUCUUUAUAAAACUAGGGUUUUUGGUUUAAUUCUGAUUAAACCAGAAUUUACCUAAACCGACUUUAAU
This 3823-nucleotide long non-coding RNA is filed under the name Capsella rubella. RNAcentral describes it as "long non-coding RNA (CRUB_LNC003000)". Lineage: Eukaryota; Viridiplantae; Streptophyta; Magnoliopsida; Brassicales; Brassicaceae. The record is from RNAcentral.